Molecule: ribosomal RNA, 200 nt
Filed under: uncultured bacterium
Lineage: Bacteria
Description: partial 16S ribosomal RNA
Rfam family: Bacterial small subunit ribosomal RNA
Source: RNAcentral
AGAGUUUGAUCCUGGCUCAGGACGAACGCUGGCGGCGUGCUUAACACAUGCAAGUCGAACGAGGCGCUUGCGCCUAGUGGCGAACGGGUGAGUAACACGUGAGCAACCUGCCCUUGGCUCUGGGAUAGCCUCCGGAAACGGGGAUUAAUACCGGACAUGACCUGCCGUUGCAUGACGGCGGGUGGAAAGUUUUUCGGCCA